Molecule: long non-coding RNA, 776 nt
Filed under: Homo sapiens (human)
Lineage: Eukaryota; Metazoa; Chordata; Mammalia; Primates; Hominidae
Description: non-protein coding lnc-CXorf67-1:9
Source: RNAcentral
GACUUGGCCGGAUUUAUGUUCAUGGCUGAGGAUGCCAUGGGCCGAGUAAGAAGGAGAACCGCCACCCAACCACGCAGCCAAGAGCAACCCAGGGAUCCCUCCUCUGCUUGCUCCCCUCCCCCACCCCUGCUGUACCUUCUGCGCAGCCAUCUCGGUAACGGGCGUCAGGGGCGCUCGGCGGCCUGCUGUCCAAGCUGGGGUCAGGAGCCUGGCGGUAGCAAAGAGCAUCACCGAAAGGAAGCUGGUAGGCUAGCGAGGCCAGCCCCAAAGACCCACAGAUACACGCGCUGCUCCGAACUCGCGGGCCCGCGGCGUCCACUAAUGAGAUGAACCUGGGCGCGCAGCGGCUGGACCUCAGCUGCUAGGGCGCCGCCAAGGCCCUGCUGGACACCUUCUGGUACCUGGGCCUCGUGUAUUACACCUGUGGCUGCCGCCGAGGCGCGGUUCAAUUUGAAGUCUGAGCCCCUACAGGCCCGUGAAUCCUGGAUUACAACUGCAGUUUGUGCAAGAAGCAGCAGCACCUGCACUUCCACUUAGCAACCUCCGGCUUCACGCUCCUCCAGGGCGCAGAGAGCAUCAAAGCAUUAUCACCGACCCAACACACACCGGCGCUGCGUAGUUUCUGCAGCAGGUGUGGGGUGAAGAGUUGCCACACAGCUGUCUGACACCGGGUGUACGGCGUCACCCCUCACUUCCUGGACAAGGCAACAUUUUCCUAAAGGACUCUGCAGAGUACCCACCAGUAAGAAGGCCCUCACCAGAUGUGACCCCUUGAC